This 498-nucleotide ribosomal RNA is filed under the name uncultured bacterium. RNAcentral's name for it is "partial 16S ribosomal RNA". It matches the Rfam family "Bacterial small subunit ribosomal RNA", at positions 30 to 507 of the family's 1533-position model. The record is from RNAcentral.
UUCUGAACGCUGGCGGCGUGCCUAAUACAUGCAAGUCGAGCGAACGGACGAGAAGCUUGCUUCUCUGAUGUUAGCGGCGGACGGGUGAGUAACACGUGGAUAACCUACCUAUAAGACUGGGAUAACUUCGGGAAACCGGAGCUAAUACCGGAUAAUAUUUUGAACCGCAUGGUUCAAAAGUGAAAGACGGUCUUGCUGUCACUUAUAGAUGGAUCCGCGCUGCAUUAGCUAGUUGGUAAGGUAACGGCUUACCAAGGCAACGAUGCAUAGCCGACCUGAGAGGGUGAUCGGCCACACUGGAACUGAGACACGGUCCAGACUCCUACGGGAGGCAGCAGUAGGGAAUCUUCCGCAAUGGGCGAAAGCCUGACGGAGCAACGCCGCGUGAGUGAUGAAGGUCUUCGGAUCGUAAAACUCUGUUAUUAGGGAAGAACAUAUGUGUAAGUAACUGUGCACAUCUUGACGGUACCUAAUCAGAAAGCCACGGCUAACUACGUG